Molecule: ribosomal RNA, 381 nt
Filed under: uncultured marine Chaetocerotaceae
Lineage: Eukaryota; Bacillariophyta; Thalassiosirophyceae; Chaetocerotales; Chaetocerotaceae
Description: SSU rRNA
Rfam family: Eukaryotic small subunit ribosomal RNA
Source: RNAcentral
AGCUCCAAUAGCGUAUAUUUAAGUUGUUGCAGUUAAAAAGCUCGUAGUUGCAUUUCCGAGGCAAGGGAUUAGUCCGACCUUUGGUGGGUAUUUAAUCCUCUUGCCUCGUCCUUGAGUGGUGCUUCUUGGUAUUAAGUUAUCGAGGAGAUAGCCGCUCAUCGUUUACUGUGAGAAAAUUAGAGUGUUCAAAGCAGGCUUAUGCCGUUGAAUAUAUUAGCAUGGAAUAAUAAGAUAGGACCUCGGUACUAUUUUGUUGGUUUGAGAACCAAGGUAAUGAUGAAUAGGGACAGUUGGGAGUAUUCGUAUUCAGUUGUCAGAGGUGAAAUUCUUAGAUUUACAGAAGACGAACUACUGCGAAAGCAUUUACCAAGGAUGUUUUCA